Molecule: ribosomal RNA, 446 nt
Filed under: uncultured bacterium
Lineage: Bacteria
Description: bacterial SSU rRNA
Rfam family: Bacterial small subunit ribosomal RNA
Source: RNAcentral
AACGCGAAGAACCUUACCAGCUCUUGACAUGCCCGGUAUGGGCGGGAGAGAUCCCGCUCUUCGGUUCGGCCGGCCGGGACACAGGUGCUGCAUGGCUGUCGUCAGCUCGUGUCGUGAGAUGUUGGGUUAAGUCCCGCAACGAGCGCAACCCUUAUCCCUAGUUGCCAUCGGGUCAAGCCGGGCACUCUAGUGAAACCGCUUCGGAUAACGGAGAGGAAGGUGGGGAUGACGUCAAGUCCUCAUGGCCUUUAUGUCCAGGGCUACACACGUGCUACAAUGGCCGGUACAAACCGUCCCAAACCCGCGAGGGGGAGGCAAUCGGAAAAAGCCGGCCUCAGUUCGGAUUGGAGUCUGCAACUCGACUCCAUGAAGCUGGAAUCGCUAGUAAUCGCGGAUCAGAACGCCGCGGUGAAUACGUUCCCGGGCCUUGUACACACCGCUACAGU